This is a non-coding RNA of Strigamia maritima, 56 nucleotides long. The record is from Rfam. Lineage: Eukaryota; Metazoa; Arthropoda; Chilopoda; Geophilomorpha; Linotaeniidae.
UAGCUUAAUGGUAAAGCACCCAACCGGCAAUUGGGGGAUCUGGGUUCAAGUCCCGG